GCCGAUAGCUCAGUCGGUAGAGCAUGAGAGUCUUAUUCUCAGGGUUGUGGGUUCAAGCCCCAUCUGGGACA
Non-coding RNA from Podarcis lilfordi (Lilford's wall lizard), 71 nucleotides. Lineage: Eukaryota; Metazoa; Chordata; Lepidosauria; Squamata; Lacertidae. The record is from the annotation of a GenBank genome assembly.